GACGAACGCUGGCGGCGUGCCUAAUACAUGCAAGUAGAACGCUGAAGGAGGAGCUUGCUCUUCUGGACGAGUUGCGAACGGGUGAGUAACGCGUAGGUAACCUGCCUGGUAGCGGGGGAUAACUAUUGGAAACGAUAGCUAAUACCGCAUAACAGUAGAUGUUGCAUGACAUUUGCUUAAAAGGUGCAAUUGCACCACUACCAGAUGGACCUGCGUUGUAUUAGCUAGUUGGUGGGGUAACGGCUCACCAAGGCGACGAUACAUAGCCGACCUGAGAGGGUGAUCGGCCACACUGGGACUGAGACACGGCCCAGACUCCUACGGGAGGCAGCAGUAGGGAAUCUUCGGCAAUGGACGGAAGUCUGACCGAGCAACGCCGCGUGAGGGAAGAAGGUUUUCGGAUCGUAAAGCUCUGUUGUAAGAGAAGAACGAGUGUGAGAGUGGAAAGUUCACACUGUGACGGUAUCUUACCAGAAAGGGACGGCUAACUACGUG
This 495-nucleotide ribosomal RNA is filed under the name uncultured bacterium. RNAcentral's name for it is "partial 16S ribosomal RNA". It matches the Rfam family "Bacterial small subunit ribosomal RNA", at positions 28 to 507 of the family's 1533-position model. The record is from RNAcentral.